This is a long non-coding RNA of Myotis lucifugus (little brown bat), 468 nucleotides long. RefSeq lists it as uncharacterized. The record is from RefSeq and is a predicted model, not a curated record. NCBI's taxonomy places the organism in Eukaryota, Metazoa, Chordata, Mammalia, Chiroptera, Vespertilionidae. The transcript is spliced from 3 exons.
GAGAGCCCGGCGUCCGUUUCCCGGCCGGACCGGCGCCGUCGGGAGUGGAGUCCCAGGUCCCUCAACUCGGACUUUCCCCGGAGGCAGCAGUUGGAAUUUUGCAAAGACAGGCCGUUCUCCCACCCACAUUUUCAAUGCAAAUACCUGAAAUACAGGCUAAUUUAAUCAGUACCGUCUUUAUUUUUUUUUUUCCUUUUGUCUUAACGUCCUCUCCUGACACGUCGCCACGCCAGUCAGCACCUGUUCCGCGUCCGGCUCAAAAAACAGAAACCUGAGAGGAUCCCCACGGGAGAAUGAGAGAAAAGGACGGUAUUCCAAGUGGAGGAAGGACAGGGCAGAAGCACUGACGCCUCCUUGGCUUGUUUAACGAGAGAGUGCAGCAUAUCCCAGAUGGUGGAGUAUGAUAAUAGCCUGUGUCUUUAAAUAAAAAGAAAGGCCCUGCCCCGCCUCCAGGAGAGGCUGCUAGGA